GGGGGGACGGCGCUGGAAAUACUAGUGCCGAGUGAGGUGAGAGCGCGGCGGCGGCAGCAGCCGGCUCCGGGCCUCACGGCCCCGCCUCGGCCCGGCGCGGGGGUGUCUCUGGCCGCGGCUCCAAGCUGCGGAGCCGGCAGGGCCGGGGGGCAGGUGCGCCUCAGGGGUGCACUCGCCCUCUCAACGCGGCCGGGCCGGGCCCGGCCCAGGGACUCGCUCCUCUCCGAGACCUCUCCCGCCAGACUCUGCCCUUCGCACUCCGGCCGCCGACGUGAACGACCGACAGCUGCCCUCAGCGUACGCCCGCCGCCGCCCCCCUGUCCUCCGGUACUGACGUGGCCCCGCUGGCCACGACCCUACUCCUGUUCCUCCUUAAAGUUCCGCGGGGGGAAACUCACCUCCCGUUCGGCGUCUGCCGCCUCCAUCCGUACCCGGGCGGCAGCAGCCCUUCACAAAACUGAAACUCUGCAGGCUACGCUCCUCGGGAUCGGCCUGGCGCGGCCGGGAGAGGUGCCACCCCGCCGCUGCGCUCCCAGGCGGGCAGCCGGAGCUCGCAUUGGCGCGGCGGGGGGCGGGGAGGGCCGCAGGUGCAUCAGGGACCGGCCGCGGCCUCUCGCUGUGCGCAGGCGGGGGGCGGCGGCGGCCCGGCCGGGCCUGCUCGGGAGGAGCUCGGCGUGGCCUCGGGUGGAUCCCGUCUGCUUAGUUUCUCUCUGGAAAACUGAUCGUACUGGGGCUGCUGGCACACAAAUGGGGGGGAAGAUGCGAGAAACAGUAGCUGCAGUGCCACAGCGCAGCGGGGUCUUUUCAUCUCAUUCACUGGGGCUAGUCUUAUAUUUAUUUUCUUAUUUUUUUACCUGUACUUAACUGCACUUUUUUUUUCUCUUUUCUAACGUAUGCUAACACAGUAUUCACAGUGCAGGUGAGUGACUCGCCUGGGAAGCUGGUACCACGUAAGGGACAGUGAUCAGUAGAAGGUGGAAGUGGCUUUUUUUAGCUGUAUCAAACAAUACAAGAAUGAGUUUGGCCACAGCAGUGAGCUAGCAGUGAGCAUUGAAAUCCAGGUCGUGAGGAAAGAGAAAAGCAAACCUCUUCAGUUUUUGUCCCCUAGGUUGCAAAAUUCAGCCAGAAUCUAUGUAUAUACACUGGAAAUCAGGAACAAAUUCACAUGGUGGUUAAACGUCAGUUACCCAGUCAAAACAAACCAAAGUACCAAAAUUAAUUGUUUGCCAUAUACCACUUUACCUGAUAAUCUUAUUUUUAGAGGUGACAGUGCAACACUGUCCGCCUUUCCUUGCAUGCCUCUGACAGCACUGUUUCUUGUGCAGUUAUGUCCAGUAAGGUUCACCUUCACUCUCUCUUUACAUUUUGAUAUUUAAAACAUCCCUGUAGCAUUCAUAAUCCCAUUUUGUAUUGUAUAUAUUUCCUUAGAAAAGUGGGUUUUAUGCAGUUUUGAAUUACGGGAAUAUUUGGGAAUGAAAGCUUUGAAAUUUUUAAAGACAAUGGAAGUAUUCUAGUUAUUUUACUCAUCCAAACCCAAACUUUCUAAGUCCAAGUAAAUUUAAUCAGUACUGUCAUUGGAGCUAGAGGGAGCUGUGACUUUUAUUAAAACAAAACCAAUAACAACAAAAAGGUGGUAUGUUGACCACCAAGGUAUUCCCUGGGUGUUACAUGAAACAACCCAACACACUAACGUCAUCAGAUUCUGCAGUACCAACAACAGAGGCAGAUGAGUAGCAGCUAACCUGAAAUUUUCUCGUUCUCUCUCAUUUAGCAUCCCCCGUAGAAGCAAGGGGACUGUAAAGGGUUUAUUUAAAAGGCUCUUUUUUUCAUUCUUGUUUGUUUUUUUUUUUCUUUUUUUUUAGGAGCUUCAGUGCAGAACAUAACCAAUAACUGCCUUAAUGUUGCAUUAAUGUCAACACAUAAAGAAUCAAUCACAUAAAGAAUUCUUAC
Strigops habroptila (Kakapo) is the source of this 1950-nucleotide long non-coding RNA. Lineage: Eukaryota; Metazoa; Chordata; Aves; Psittaciformes; Psittacidae. The record is from Ensembl.